RNAcentral lists this unclassified non-coding RNA (251 nucleotides) under fungal sp. RNAcentral's name for it is "partial internal transcribed spacer region". The stretch from base 1 to 47 matches the Rfam family "Eukaryotic small subunit ribosomal RNA", at positions 1785 to 1831 of the family's 1831-position model. The record is from RNAcentral. Lineage: Eukaryota; Fungi.
AAAGUCGUAACAAGGUUUCCGUAGGUGAACCUGCGGAAGGAUCAUUACAGAGUUCUUGCCCUUACGGGUAGAUCUCCCACCCUUGAAUACAUACCUUUGUUGCUUUGGCGGGCCGCGCUUGCGCUACUGGCUUCGGCUAGUACGUGCCCGCCAGAGAACCACAACUCUUGUUUUUAGUGAUGUCUGAGUACUAUAUAAUAGUUAAAACUUUCAACAACGGAUCUCUUGGUUCUGGCAUCGAUGAAGAACGC